Molecule: transfer RNA, 72 nt
Filed under: Sphaerodactylus townsendi
Lineage: Eukaryota; Metazoa; Chordata; Lepidosauria; Squamata; Sphaerodactylidae
Description: tRNA-Val
Source: RNAcentral
GGGGCUAUGGCUCAGUGGGACAGCAUCUGUUCAACCUGCAGAAGGUCCCAGGUUCAAUCGCUGACAUCUCCG